AAAAAAAAGAAUAAGAUUCUACCCUUAUAAAGAGAGUAGAGAAACCAAUAACUGUCAAGGGUAUAUCUCAGGCUAGAUAUUUUGUGUGUUUAUCUAAUUUAAUGCAACAACCCUGAUAUUUUCCUUAUUUUAUAGAUGUGGAAAUAAGCCAAAGAGGUGGUUAAAAUUAGCCCAGCAUCACACCGCUAGUUCAGAGUAAAAACUGGGAAUCUAAUGUAGGCCUAAUUUCAAAUCCCACAUAUUUUUCAUGGCAUCUUGAUGUAUAUUAAUAGGGAAGAUAAUAUUUUUGCAUGUUCAAGUAUAAUACAAGGAAGAAAUAAAAGAAUAUAGGUAAAUUGCCAUAGGAAUUAAGAGGAAGAGGGAUUACUCCUAGUCAAGAGGUCGUGAGUCUUCCUUGAAGAGGUAGCAUCUGAAAUGGAGCUUGAAAGUUGGUAAUAUGUUGGCAGGUGGUAUCGGGGGCAGAAAAUUCCAGGCAGAUGGAGGAGCACAAGGACAGACUCUGGCAGGAUGAGAAUACCAUGAAUAGUUUGCAGAAGGGGCCAAGGAUGGGGUUCUGCCUGGGUGGGAAGGGCUCUUUUGUCACUGACAUUCUUAGAAUCGCCAGUGCAUGGUCAUAGUAAAAAGUAGAGUAACUCUUAAUUUUAUUAUUGAUUUUAAAUCUCCUACAGACAGUGUGCCCUCUUUAUAAUGUGUGGCCAGGACAGACCACUCCCACCGGCCCCUACUGUUCAGUAUAACACUGGUAAUUGGGUGUGUUUGGAUAAGUUCCUCUUUCUCUGCCUUUCGUGGUAGCACUGCAAGUUCCUAUGAUUCUCAGCCUGUAUUCCUCAGUGGUGUGCAGCCUACCCCAUGUUCCAGGGAGAUAGGUUCUACGAAGGACAGAGGGCUAGCCCUGGACUUCCCAUGAGUUUUGGGAAAGGGGGGUGUCACAAGUGGAACCAGGUGUCUGGCACACUUCAGGUCUGGAGUUCUCCUGACCCAGGCAUAGAAACUUUCUUCAGGAUCUGGAUGAUGCUUUAGAGUCAAUGAGCAAGGCUAGAUUGAACCAAAGGGCAUGGACCAUGGGCCUGGAGGAAUCUUCUUAGAGAUUUAUCAGUGGGUGGGGAGUUGAGAGUUUGAAGUUGAAGACUGAAAUCACUAAAGAGAAGCCCAGGUGGUUGUUGAUACCCCUCCUACCCCAACCCCCUGCCCUUUCCCCGACCACCACCCAGGGGCAAAGGAAGAUGGAGGACCUCCUGCUAAUUUUCAACUGCACUUUGCUCUCUGUUAUGUAGUAUUUCAGUGACAGGAUCCACUCAGGAGAGUUGGGGCAAAGCUGGCUGAGGUUCUCAAGGAGCUGAGUUUUGAGUUCAGGUGCCUACGUGGCAGUGGAAUGAUGCUUCCUGACCUUUCAGACCUUUGAGACCGCUGCGCGGUCUAAGACUUCACCUGGAGCCUCCUGUCCAGGAUGUGACCACCUAGGGGAAUUCCAGGGAAAGGUGGCAGAGAUAUCAUGGACUGAAAUGUGAUGGGUACCCCAAUGAGCUCACUACAAGAUCUCAAAGAUUCCAAGCCACUGGCUGCUCCCAAGCAUAAAGCCACCCUUCUGGAGAGGCGGCAGGAAGGAAGCCUGGAGGAGGCUCCACUUUUGGCCAGAGGACAGACCACCUUCUCAGGUCUCUGGGGGAACUGCUGAAGGACAGUGAGGGAGAUGUUGCUGGUCCCCAGGACAGAAACACAGCAGCUGGAACCAAGAAGCACCUGGAGUGGGACUCAAGCCCAGCACCCCUUCAUACUGAAGCUCUUUGAGCUGCAUGUGGUUCCUGAUUGGACUGUUUUUGCUUUGCCACCACCUGCAUAACACUGUUCUGGAUGCUUUUGAAUUAUUGGCUUUCUUUCCUUUUUUCCCCCCUCUGUCUUUUCUUUUUUCUUCUCUUGGCCCUGUGAAUUGUAAGAAGAAUUGCUUUAGAAAGUAUAAUUCUGUUGCUGAAAUUAGCCUUGUUUAUGAACAAAUUCUGUCCCUAAGGAUUUUCUGAAUUGCAAUCCCAGGUUACCUUGUAAAUGGGGCUGCAUGAUUUGAUUUGUGUAGUACUGAUCCUUAGAUUAAAAAUACAUUUUCUUUCUUUCUUUUCUUUCUUUCUUUCUUUCUUUCUUUCUUUCUUUC
Leptonychotes weddellii (Weddell seal) is the source of this 2143-nucleotide non-coding RNA. NCBI's taxonomy places the organism in Eukaryota, Metazoa, Chordata, Mammalia, Carnivora, Phocidae. The record is from RefSeq and is a predicted model, not a curated record.